RNAcentral lists this ribosomal RNA (484 nucleotides) under uncultured bacterium. Its description in RNAcentral is "bacterial SSU rRNA". It matches the Rfam family "Bacterial small subunit ribosomal RNA", at positions 28 to 524 of the family's 1533-position model. The record is from RNAcentral.
GAUGAACGCUGACAGAAUGCUUAACACAUGCAAGUCGACUGGAAUUCACCUUCGGGUGAUAGUACGGUGGCGGACGGGUGAGUAACGCGUAAAGAACUUGCCCUCUAGACUGGGACAACUGUUGGAAACGACAGCUAAUACCGGAUAUUAUGAGAACCUCGCAUGGGGAACUUAUGAAAGCUAUAUGCGCUAGAGGAGAGCUUUGCGUGCCAUUAGGUAGUUGGUAGGGUAACGGCCUACCAAGCCGACGAUGGCUAGCCGGCCUGAGAGGGUGAUCGGCCACAAGGGGACUGAGACACGGCCCUUACUCCUACGGGAGGCAGCAGUGGGGAAUAUUGGACAAUGGACCAAAAGUCUGAUCCAGCAAUUCUGUGUGCACGAUGAAGGUUUUCGGAUCGUAAAGUGCUUUCAGCAGGGAAGAAAAAAAAUAGACGGUACCUGCAGAAGAAGCGACGGCUAAAUACGUGCCAGCCGCCGCAGUAAU